GAAGGAAGAUGAGAAGAAUGAGCGAAUAAUUCAGGGUCUUCUCAAACAACCGGAGAACCGUAGAUGUAUUAACUGCAACAGUUUGGGGCCUCAAUAUGUUUGCACAAGUUUCUGGACAUUUUUUUGCACCACCUGCGGUGGAAUACAUCGGGAGUUCACACACAGAGUUAAAUCAGUAUCUAUGGCUAAAUUCACUUCUCAAGAGGUUGUCGCUCUUCAAGAAGGGGGAAAUCAG
Molecule: long non-coding RNA, 235 nt
Organism: Hibiscus syriacus
Lineage: Eukaryota; Viridiplantae; Streptophyta; Magnoliopsida; Malvales; Malvaceae
Exons: 3
Source: RefSeq, a predicted model, not a curated record